AUCAGUACCCGAUUUGCCAUUUUCGGGUAAAAAAAAGGUGUCAGUAACUUCUGGGUACUAAAAUUGUCCAGAAACUAUCUGACCCGAAUUUUAUCUCCUUAGAAAUUCCAAAGAAAUGAAUCCUGGCUUAAAACACAAUCAAAGUUAUCCUCUCCAGAGUCCAAGCUAAGUUCUGUUAAUUCUGGAAAAAAAUCGUUCCCAAGAUCAUCAAAACCCGGGAAUAUACCGUAAUCCGCCGGGUAAUUACCCGAACCCGUAUUUGCUAGCGAAUCCAAGAAUGGGAUAUCCAUCAUCAGUUCAUUGCCAUCUAUGUGCGCAGUCAAAUCUGACACAACCGAAGCACACGGCGACUCUGCUUGCGAUUCCGUCACAACUGAUUGAUCCAUUAAACAAUUAUCCGACUGGGUUCUCCUCGGAGGCUCCGAAUUUGCAAAUCUCGCAGCAGCUGCUUGAAUCUCAUGUGGAGAAAGCGAUCGCCCACCAGCUAUCUCCGGUGGGUUAUCCGGAAAAUUGAAUUUAGCGGUGCGGCCACGUAAGCAAAAGAGUGCUGCAUCAAAGGCACGUGCUGCUUUCUCCGCUGAAUCAUAUGAUCCUAACCAGAUUCGUUCCCUACUGUUUGGUAGGCGGAUCUCGGACACCCACUUCCCCCAUUUUCUCUUGCGGACACCCUUGAAUUUGGAAUCACUCCUCUCGGAGGGUUUCUUCUCAGUCAUGCGUUUCACCAUAAUUUUCCAAGAAAUGCUUUUGUUGCUCUGUGUUUUAGUAGUAAGUGAUGAGAUUGAAUGAUUUUUUUAAG
This 796-nucleotide unclassified non-coding RNA is filed under the name Hevea brasiliensis (rubber tree). The record is from RNAcentral. Lineage: Eukaryota; Viridiplantae; Streptophyta; Magnoliopsida; Malpighiales; Euphorbiaceae.